Molecule: ribosomal RNA, 837 nt
Filed under: uncultured beta proteobacterium
Lineage: Bacteria; Pseudomonadati; Pseudomonadota; Betaproteobacteria
Description: bacterial SSU rRNA
Rfam family: Bacterial small subunit ribosomal RNA
Source: RNAcentral
CAAGUCGAGCGGCAGCGCGGGGGCAACCCUGGCGGCGAGCGGCGGACGGGUGAGUAAUACAUCGGAACGUGUCCUUUCGUGGGGGAUAACCAGUCGAAAGACUGGCUAAUACCGCAUGAGAUCUCACGAUGAAAGCGGGGGACCGCAAGGCCUCGCGCGAUUGGAGCGGCCGAUGUCGGAUUAGCUAGUUGGCGGGGUAAAAGCCCACCAAGGCGACGAUCCGUAGCUGGUUUGAGAGAACGACCAGCCACACUGGGACUGAGACACGGCCCAGACUCCUACGGGAGGCAGCAGUGGGGAAUUUUGGACAAUGGGGGCAACCCUGAUCCAGCCAUGCCGCGUGUGUGAAGAAGGCCUUCGGGUUGUAAAGCACUUUCGGCCGGAACGAAAUCGCGCGGGCUAUUACCCCGCGUGGAUGACGGUACCGGAAGAAGAAGCACCGGCUAACUACGUGCCAGCAGCCGCGGUAAUACGUAGGGUGCGAGCGUUAAUCGGAAUUACUGGGCGUAAAGGGUGCGCAGGCGGUUCUGCAAGUCAGGCGUGAAAGCCCCGGGCUUAACCUGGGAAUGGCGCUUGAAACUACGGGACUGGAGUAUGGCAGAGGGAGGUGGAAUUCCACGUGUAGCGGUGAAAUGCGUAGAGAUGUGGAGGAACACCGAUGGCGAAGGCAGCCUCCUGGGUCAAUACUGACGCUCAUGCACGAAAGCGUGGGGAGCAAACAGGAUUAGAUACCCUGGUAGUCCACGCCCUAAACGAUGAUGACUAGUUGUUGGAGGAGUUAAAUCCUUUAGUAACGCAGCUAACGCGCGAAGUCAUCCGCCUGGGGAGUACGGUCGC